CUGCUGGUGGGAUGUGCGGCGGGUUAGGCUUUGGUUUGGGCUCCGGCUUGGGUUCAGGCUUUGGUUUUGGUUCAGGCUUAGGCUCCGGUUUGGGUUCUGGUUUCGGCUUGGGCUCGGGCUUUGGUUCAGGUUUAGGCUUAGGCUCAGGCUUAGGUAGUGGUUCGGGUUUUGGUUCCGGCUUCGGCUCAGGCUUAGGCUCGGGUUUUGGUUUGGGCUCGGGCUUAGGCUCUGGUUUGGGUAGUGGUUCUGGUUUUGGUUCUGGCUUGGGCUCGGGCUUAGGCUCUGGUUUGGGCAGUGGCUCUGGCUUUGGCUCUGGUUUUGGCAAUGGUUUGGGCUUUGGUUCCGGCUUGGGCUCAGGCUUAGGCUCUGGUUUUGGUAGUGGUUCAGGUUUUGGUUCCGGCUUGGGUUCAGGCUUAGGCUCGGGCUUUGGUUCCGGCUUGGGCUCAUGCUUAGGUUGCAGUGGUUCGGGUAUGGGUUCUGUGCUUGGGUUCAGGCUUAGUGCUCGGUGCUUUGGGUAUCGUGCUUGGGCUCAGGCUUAGGCUCCGGUAUCGGCAUCGGUUCGGGCUUUGGUUCUGGCUAGGGCUCAGGCUUAGGCUCAGGUUUUGGUUUUGGCAUGGGCUCAGGUUUUGGUUCAGGCUUAGGCUCCGGCUUAGGCUCAGGCUUAGGUUUUGGUUCUGGCUUGGGCUCCGGUUUUGGCAGUGGUUCAGGCUUGGGCUCAGGCUCGGGUUUUGGUUCAGGCUUAGGCUCAGGUUUUGGCUUUGGCUCAGGCUUUUUUGGCUUUGGCUUUGGUUCAGGCAUAGGCUUGGGCAUCGGUUCGGGUUUGGGCUUUGGCUCUGGCUUCGUUAUGGGUUUAGGUUGAGGCUCAGGUUUAGGUUCAG
This 878-nucleotide long non-coding RNA is filed under the name Sorghum bicolor (sorghum). Its description in RNAcentral is "long non-coding RNA (SBIC_LNC013870)". Lineage: Eukaryota; Viridiplantae; Streptophyta; Magnoliopsida; Poales; Poaceae. The record is from RNAcentral.